UGCGCUAAUAGAUGAGCUUAAGUCGGAUUAGCUAGUUGGUGGGGUAAAGGCCUACCAAGGCGACGAUCUGUAGCGGGUCUGAGAGGAUGAUCCGCCACACUGGGACUGAGACACGGCCCAGACUCCUACGGGGAGGCAGCAGUGGGGGAAUAUUGGACAAUGGGGGGAACCCUGAUCCAGCCAUGCCGCGUGUGUGAAGAAGGCCUUUUGGUUGUAAAGCACUUUAAGCGAGGAGGAGGCUACUCUAGUUAAUACCUAGAGAUAGCGGACGUUACUCGCAGAAUAAGCACCGGCUAACUCUGUGCCAGCAGCCGCGGUAAUACAGAGGGUGCGAGCGUUAAUCGGAUUUACUGGGCGUAAAGCGUGCGUAGGUGGCCAAUUAAGUCAAAUGUGAAAUCCCCGAGCUUAACUUGGGAAUUGCAUUCGAUACUGGUUGGCUAGAGUAUGGGAGAGGAUGGUAGAAUUCCAGGUGUAGCGGUGAAAUGCGUAGAGAUCUGGAGGAAUACCGAUGGCGAAGGCAGCCAUCUGGCCUAAUACUGACACUGAGGUACGAAAGCAUGGGGAGCAAACAGGAUUGGAUACCCUGGUAGUCCAUGCCGUAAACGAUGUCUACUAGCCGUUGGGGCCUUUGAGGCUUUAGUGGCGCAGCUAACGCGAUAAGUAGACCGCCUGGGGAGUACGGUCGCAAGACU
RNAcentral lists this ribosomal RNA (692 nucleotides) under uncultured Acinetobacter sp. Its description in RNAcentral is "bacterial SSU rRNA". It matches the Rfam family "Bacterial small subunit ribosomal RNA", at positions 214 to 895 of the family's 1533-position model. The record is from RNAcentral. Lineage: Bacteria; Pseudomonadati; Pseudomonadota; Gammaproteobacteria; Moraxellales; Moraxellaceae.